GACGAACGCUGGCGGCGUGCUUAACACAUGCCAGUCGAACGGUGAAGCUCCAGCUUGCUGGAGUGGAUCAGUGGCGAACGGGUGAGUAACACGUGAGCAACCUGCCCCAGACUCUGGAAUAAGCGCUGGAAACGGCGUCUAAUACUGGAUACGAGAUCAAGCCGCAUGGUUAUGGUCUGGAAAGUUUUUCGGUUUGGGAUGGGCUCGCGGCCUAUCAGCUUGUUGGUGAGGUAAUGGCUCACCAAGGCGACGACGGGUAGCCGGCCUGAGAGGGCGACCGGCCACACUGGGACUGAGACGCGGCCCAGACUCCUACGGGAGGCAGCAGUGGGGAAUAUUGCACAAUGGGCGAAAGCCUGAUGCAGCGACGCCGCGUGAGGGAUGACGGCCUUCGGGUUGUAAACCUCUUUCAGCAGGGAAGAAGCGAAAGUGACGGUACCUGCAGAAGAAGCACCGGCUAACUACGUG
Molecule: ribosomal RNA, 468 nt
Filed under: uncultured bacterium
Lineage: Bacteria
Description: partial 16S ribosomal RNA
Rfam family: Bacterial small subunit ribosomal RNA
Source: RNAcentral